Manis pentadactyla (Chinese pangolin) is the source of this 878-nucleotide long non-coding RNA. RefSeq lists it as uncharacterized. The record is from RefSeq and is a predicted model, not a curated record. Lineage: Eukaryota; Metazoa; Chordata; Mammalia; Pholidota; Manidae. The transcript has 4 exons.
UGAAGCAGAAACUUCCUGUCCCAGGACUCAGUCCUUAUGUGGCCAGCAUCUGUAAAGUCUCAUUAGCUCUUUUAUUUCAGAGAUCUCUUGGUCUCUCGAGUUUUUUAUUUGGCAUAGGGACUAUGCACCCACAACUUGUGGUUGCUGUAGUCUGGCUUUAUUGGGCUCCUGUUCUGAUUGUCCGUCGGUGCCCAUCCUGGACUCUGCAGCAUGACUGCUGAUCUGGAACUGAAAGUCUUGGAACGAAACCCCACCCAACAUAAAUUUGCUCGACAGACUGAAUCAGCCAUCUAAGCCUUUCCAGCAGAAGAAACUCCUUAAGAAAAGGAAACUGAAGAUCCCUGUACUUAUAGGGGGAAAGUACAUUCCCAGCCCAGGGCAAAUAACCUUUGCAACUGAAAUCAGUCAAAGGGGGAAAUACAGUGGAAAAAAGCCGUUUAUUGCUUACAAGCAGUCGUCUGCUUCUGCUCUCCGGUGCUUCUCGCAAACGGCUGCAAAAGGACCCCGCCCACCUCUCCGUCCCCGCACAGCCUUGCUCCCCACCCGCCUUGUGAUCACCUAUUGACACGGGGACGGGCUACUUCUCUGCAUCCCUUGGAAACACCUGCUGAUACGGAGAUGCACUAAGGCCAGCCACCGCAUUUCAAGCGGGACAGUGAUAACUGAUGUCAAUUUGGAGUAGGGUGGCUACUUUGACCCAUACAUCAGCUGGCGUGUUCAAGAUCCAGAUCAAGCUGGUCCACCUCCUCCCUUUCCAGGACCUAAGGACUUGAAGCAGACAUGCUGGGCUCUUGAGAAAAAGCUUGUCCCCACAGGACUGCUGGCCACAUUUCGCAGACUCAAGAUGUUUGGAGAGUGUAGAUAAUCAUCACAAUUUU